GUACAUGUCCGUCAGGGUCUUAGGCAGCUCUCCACUCUCCUCUCUGCUCAUCAUGUCCUUCAGGACUGUAGCAGUGAUCCAGCAGAAGACCGGGAUCUGACACAUGAUGUGGAGGCUCUUGGAGGACUUGAUGUGUGAGAUGAUUCCUCUGAACAGAUCUUCAUCUCUGAACCUCUUCCUGAAGUACUCGUCCUUCUGGGCGUCAGUGAAGCCUCGUACUUCUGUUACCCUGUCCACACAUGAGGGAGGGAUCUGAUUGGCUGCUGCAGGUCGAGAAGUUAUCCAGAUGAGAGCUGAGAGGAGCAGGUUCCCCUUGAUGAGGUUUGUUAACAGAACGUCCAGUGAAGACUUCUGUGUGACGUCAGACACCACCUCAGAGUCUGUGAAAUCCAGAGACAGUCUGCUUUCAUCCAGACCGUCAAAGAUGAACAGAAGUUUACAGACAGCCAGCGUCUCUGCUGUGACCUUCUCUAGUGUUGGAUGGAAAACAUGGAGCAGACUCAGAAGACUGAAGCGCUCAUCUCUGAUCAGGUUCAGCUCCCUGAAUGAAAGCAGGAUCACCAGAUUGAGGUCUUGGUUCUCCAAACCCUCUGCCCAGUCCAGAGUGAACUUCUGCACUGAGAAGGUUUUUCCAACACCAGCCACGCCGUUGGUCAGAACCACUCUGAUGAGCCUCUUCUGUUGGUUAGGUAGGGUUUUAAAGAUCUCAUGACACUUGACGGGCGUGUCAUGGAAGGUCUUCAUCUUUGAGGCUGUCUCCAGCUGUCUCACCUCAUGUUGGGUGUUCACCUCUUCACUCAGUCCCUCUGU
This is a non-coding RNA of Xyrichtys novacula (pearly razorfish), 810 nucleotides long. The record is from the annotation of a GenBank genome assembly. Lineage: Eukaryota; Metazoa; Chordata; Actinopteri; Labriformes; Labridae.